CUUAAAUUGAAGAGUUUGAUCAUGGCUCAGAUUGAACGCUGGCGGCAGGCCUAACACAUGCAAGUCGAGCGGAAACGAGUUAUCUGAACCUUCGGGGAACGAUAACGGCGUCGAGCG
Molecule: ribosomal RNA, 117 nt
Filed under: Vibrio parahaemolyticus
Lineage: Bacteria; Pseudomonadati; Pseudomonadota; Gammaproteobacteria; Vibrionales; Vibrionaceae
Description: partial 16S ribosomal RNA
Rfam family: Bacterial small subunit ribosomal RNA
Source: RNAcentral